CUGAAAGUUUUACUCUUAAUUGUUUAUAUAGUAUAGAUGGAGGACUUCUAUAUGUGCUCCUGAACUCCUGGAUUUAAUAUGUGACAUGCAUGUGCGAAACCAUAGGAAUACAAAUCAACCUCAGAGAGUUACGGUAUAAUUAUUUGCUAUACUACAAGUUGUGAUUCGGUAGAUUUUUUAUACCAAUAUUAAUCUCAUUCUAAAUAUUGCAAAAAAAUAUCUGCACAAUGUGGAUAACAAUAAUACCCAUGUAUGUGUGACCGAAAAACAUUUGUCGCAUUUUUCUUGCUUCCUUUUGUUUGCAUGUUAACUUGAGAUUAUUUUUAUGCGUUUGUAAUGUACUGAGUUCAGGAAACACAAGCCAGCACACACAAUUCUAACUAAAUCAUGGUACAUUAGGUGGUUAUGAAGAUGGCUUCGUCAGAACUUAUCAGUUCAUGAAGAUCCAGGAGACGGGUUGCGAUCAAGAGAUUCCGGCUAGGCAAGUACACGAAAGUCCUCAACUUCACUACAUUGAGGUAAUCAAACUACUCAAGGAGUUGAAAGAUCCUAAUAUUAUAGAGCUAAUUGAUGCUCUCCAUUACAAGGGCAACUUGCAGCUUGUAUCCAAGUUCAUGGAAAUGGACCUGGAAGUUGUCAUACGUGAUAGGUACAUUUUAGUAUCUCCAGCGGACAUUAAAUCUUAUAUUCAGAUGAUGUUGAAAGGUCAAGCAUUCUGCCACAAGAAAUGGGUGCUACACAGGUACUGACUAUCUGAUUGUUUUCUAUUAAAUAAAACAACAAACUGAAGGAUAGCUCAAGCUUUGGGACUUUGGUCUGACGUGCAUAUUUGAUAGUCCAGGAUGAUACUUCACUCACCAGGUUCUUAUUAAUAGAUUUAUUUCUGUGGUUAUGCAACCAGUGAAUUGUGUCACGGACUCCCAGAAUUUCCGAAACUUCCCAUUUAAAGAAAAUAUCUAUUGAUAACUCUCUUCAUGUAGUAUUAUUAUUUCUUAUGCUGCAUAUUUUUGUAGGCCGUCUGUAAAAUGCUGGUUGAUGGUUUUAAUUUUCUGCUUGUCAGUUAAGAACACGACACAUGCUUGCCAGUAUAUGUUGAUCUUACAGUCUUUUCCAAUCACAAUAUUCAUUUGAAGUACCUUGGCACUUUGGCACAUACAUAAAUUUGUUUGUAGCUUCUUCCCAAUGUAAUUUUGAAUACUUUUCGAGCCCCUUGCAGUAGCAUUUUCCUAAAAGAUGCAAUAUCUUAAGCCAACUAAUACUUAAGGGAAGUAUCCUUGAAAGUGCUCACUUUUCUAGGAUGUAAAAAAGAUUUCUGGAUAGAACAUGCGUAUAGAUUAUCUUUAUGAUAUUCCGAGAACAUAUGAAUGAUAUUUGCUUCCUAUAUGAGCUUUUGGAUUGCUCUUUUGAACAUCUCUACCUACAAUUAGAGUGCAGCAGGUUGUUGCCCACUAAAAUAGGGAAUUAUCCUUUUGGCAUCUCUCAAUAGUGGUACUUUUUAUGGAUAAAUAUGGGUACAAAAGUGUUGCCAGCUAGGUUUAGUCCUCUUACACAUUCAUUGUACCGCAUUGAUAACAAGAUAAUAUUGUUUUCUUGGUUUGGAAAUUAAAAUUCAAGUCCGACAAAGACUGUGAGCAGGCUGGGCACAAGUGUCACACCGAUGCAAGUCUCUCAUAGCCCACGCAAGGACAUGAUUUGUUCAUAUCAGCAAUAAUGUAUUUUUAAAGUUAAACUUAUGCUAUUGAAGUGUUAUAUUUCCUAUCGGUUCAGAGGCAUGACCAAAUGUAACCUCUGAAGUUGAUCAUGGGACAAAUCACAAUUGAAACAAUGUUUUGUGCAAACUGCACUGAUAAUUUUUCAUGCAACUUGAGUGUAGCAAGGCAUGAUAGUUACGCAAGAUGUAUCCUCUCUGCUCUAAAGUUGAUUGGAGAAUACUUGCUACCAAAACAUGUUGAUCAGCCGGUUGCAUUCAAUAUUUUCAAAAAUGAGGAAGCAAAGUUUCGAUGCAACGUCACAAUAUCAAGAAUUUCCUCCAGGCAACAGUGUUGGAAUACUGGUUGUCAAAGCUGUAAACAGAUGGCUAGACCAGUCAAUUCUACAUGAGCAGAUCCACACACAUCUACCUGUAGUAGUUCAAGUUGUCACUGUACGCUGCAAAAUGUUGUGCAAGUGAUUCCGUUUUAUAGCCUGAUUUUUACGUCCUAAAAUAAUAUUUCUUAGAUUCUUAUUUCCCGAAGCUAGGCAUGCGAUUUGGUUCUAGACUCGCUAUAAAAUUGGUACACAGAGUAGGCUAUUUUCCAUCUAGACUAGCAAUGAAUAUUAUUGCGGAGAUGGUAGACUUUUGGGCUCCUCUAUGCUGUAAAAAACACGAUAGACCUGAUGUUAGCUAUGAUUUUUUGUCAUGAUUUACUUCAGCCUUAAAUGUUCAAUCCUCUAACCAACUUCAGUCAUUUCCAAUGAUGUUAGCUGUUGCGUUUUCAUUUACAUAUCUAUAUUUCUAUUGCAGUAUUUACUUUGAUGCAUGUUGUUUCUUAUUUAACUGAUAUCAGCCUAUAAAAUCACUGGAACAAUUUCGUUUCAUAGGUAUCUGACCAUUAAUGUUGACAUUGUUGCUAGACAAGUAUGCUACCCUGCGGUGUGUUUCAGCAAGUUCAAAUCUGAAGCACACUCUGGCACACAUACUUCACUCUAUAAUACUUUACUCUUUUUCAGGCUACAAAAGCUUUGGUAUGCAAAUCAGAGUUCAAGCAUAUCUUAUUUCAGUCAUCAUUUACUCUUAUCACUUUGCUUUAUACGAACAUAAUCAUACCAUCAAGAAACCAUCAAGGGUGGUGUAGAACAGUAGAAGCCGCCUGUCAUGCCAUGAAGCUUCAGAUUGUGAGUAGCCUAAUGAAUGGUUCCUCACAGAUGGUCAUGUCUGUUGCUACAUGGGCAAGCGUGGGCGAUGCGGCAAUAUUGUGGGUAUUGGUACUAGGAAAGUUCUCAUUAUUGUGGUUUCUACUCCUAAAAUGGUUUGUAGCGUGCCGUUGUUUCACAACUUUCCAGUUAUACUUCCUUGGUAUUCACAAACUAUGUGUAAUAUUU
Lolium rigidum is the source of this 3081-nucleotide RNA transcript. It is a transcript of the gene named cyclin-dependent kinase D-1-like, with no coding region annotated. Lineage: Eukaryota; Viridiplantae; Streptophyta; Magnoliopsida; Poales; Poaceae. The transcript is spliced from 3 exons. The record is from RefSeq and is a predicted model, not a curated record.